Non-coding RNA from Potamilus streckersoni, 73 nucleotides. NCBI's taxonomy places the organism in Eukaryota, Metazoa, Mollusca, Bivalvia, Unionida, Unionidae. The record is from the annotation of a GenBank genome assembly.
GCUCCGGUGGCCUAGUGGUUAGAGCGUCAGCCGCUGAUGCAGGAGCUCGCGGGUUCGAACCCAGGUCGAGUCA